GAUGAAGAACGUAGCGAAAUGCGAUAAGUAAUGUGAAUUGCAGAAUUCAGUGAAUCAUCGAAUCUUUGAACGCACAUUGCGCCCGCCAGCAUUCUGGCGGGCAUGCCUGUUCGAGCGUCAUUUCAACCCUCGAGCCCCCCCGGGGGCCUCGGUGUUGGGGGACGGCACACCAGCCGCCCCCGAAAUGCAGUGGCGACCCCGCCGCAGCCUCCCCUGCGUAGUAGCACACACCUCGCACCGGAGCGCGGAGGCGGUCACGCCGUAAAACGCCCAACUUUCUUAGAGUUGACCUCGUAUCAGGUAGGAAUACCCGCUGAACUUAAGCAUAUCAAUAAGCGGAGGA
This 343-nucleotide unclassified non-coding RNA is filed under the name soil metagenome. Its description in RNAcentral is "partial contains 5.8S ribosomal RNA, internal transcribed spacer 2, and large subunit ribosomal RNA". The stretch from base 1 to 120 matches the Rfam family "5.8S ribosomal RNA", at positions 35 to 154 of the family's 154-position model. The record is from RNAcentral.